GUAUUUUGAAUUAAGUAUUCAUAAUAUUUUUCAGACAAAUUAGUUAAAGAAUGAGUUGAUGUAUAAAAACCUCGCCAAGAUUGACGAGAUCUAACAUUGCACACAAGGUGGAUAUGGAUUUUUAAAAAGUGCAGUAAAACACUUAUUAUGAAUGAUCCUUCCGCAGGUUCACCUACGGAAA
This 181-nucleotide unclassified non-coding RNA is filed under the name uncultured fungus. RNAcentral describes it as "sequence contains ITS1". Lineage: Eukaryota; Fungi. The record is from RNAcentral.